This 2304-nucleotide long non-coding RNA is filed under the name Pan troglodytes (chimpanzee). RNAcentral describes it as "long non-coding RNA NONPTRT014803". Lineage: Eukaryota; Metazoa; Chordata; Mammalia; Primates; Hominidae. The record is from RNAcentral.
CAAGGCUGUUCAAUCUUUGCACCCAGAGGUUGCAGUAAGUCUGGAUACCACAUCAAACUGUUUGUGGUACUUCUAAACUUCGUGGAAGAGCCCUGUUUCAUAAAUCUGAGACAGCCUUGGUCUGAGGGAGCAAAGACAGAGAAUUCACGUGCUGCCCAGGCAUAGCCACAUAGCAGGUGGACAUCCCUGGACACUUUUCUGAGAUUUUACGUCAUAGACCCUCACUGGAUUUUCCUGGAAGUACGGAGAGUUACAUCCAGAGAACUCUGAACAUUUUGGAAGGACCCCAAUCCUGCAAACAAUGAAUGGCAAUAAAUCCUGGGACUGGAAAGGGGCUUCUCAACCCCAAGGCAACCAUAAAGUCCUAUACAAAGAAAGAUACAGCAGUGUGAAAGAGGCCUGGAUGAAAAAACAAAGACAGAGCCAGUGAGCCAGAGCCAGAGCCAGAGGACAAGAGAGAAAGGCAGAGAAUGGAAAACACAGACAGAGAAGGCAGAUGCAUAGAGAGACAGAGAUUCAAUGAGAAAAUAAGGAAGGAAGAAAGAAAACAAAAACAUUCUCAGCACUACAACUUCUGCCUUGUUCUGUUCCAGAACAGUAUGAGCUCAGUACUUUUUCAGACUCUCAAUUUUCUACAACUAAUAAUUUGCUCUUUCAGUUAGUGGCAAAGGCUUAACGACAAAGGUUCAUCUUUAAUAUUAAAGAGGCACUUUUAAAAUUUAUGAUGCUAAGCCUUUUGUUCUGGAUAUGGUAUGUUGCACAGGUCUAGGGACUGGGAUUUCAGAUGUCUAUUCCGUACCCUUAUUCUUUUAUUUAUUAAAUCUUUUAGGGUGUAUUUUUUUCUAUUUUCUCUUCUUUUAUUAGUAUGUAUUUCUUGAGUCAUUAACAUACAACAUAUAUAGGACUUCCUCUGAGGAUACAAUAAUGUAUAUGAUGGACAAGAUACGUAAAAGUGCCUUGAAGAGACUUGGUCUUGUGAGGGGACAGACAGGAAACAGGCAGUUAUCACCUAACUUAAGUCUGUUGUUUCAAGGUAAAAUAAGAAUAAUAACAUCUGUGUUGGCUGGGAUGUUGUGAGUGUUUGUGGAGAUAAUAGUACAAAUGAAAUUACUGAGGGACAAUGGUGAAGAUAGGGCCAUAUCAUGGAGCUUACACUAGUGAUGGAAGGAGAUGGGAGAUACAAAAGCAAGACAAUAUUUCAGAUUUCAUAAAUGAAUGGCAAGCAUAGAGCAGUGAGGCAGAGAAUGACUGGAGAAAGAGACUAUGCUAAACUGGAUAGUAAAGGAAGAGCAGGACCCCACUAAACUAUAUGGAGUUUUGUGCAAAUCACAUGAACACAAGUAGAACAUUUUAGGCUGCUCAUGUGACUUUGGAUUUGUCCUAAGGGCAAUAGUAAGCCUUUGGACUGCUUUAGCAUGAUAGGAUUUUAAAAGAUCACUGGCUGCUGUGUGAACAAAAAUAAUGUUGUAAAGAAAAGGAUAUUAGCUGUAUCAGAUCAGCUGGAGACUACUGAAAUAACCCAAGCUGGCUUGGACUACAUAGGAGUAGUGUAAACUCAUUCAUUCAUGCAAGAAAUACUUAUUGAGUGCCUACUCAGUACCAGACCCUUUUCUAGGACAUGGAGUUAUAGCAGUGAACAAUAUAGAAAAAAAUCCCCGAAUUCAUGGAGACUCCAGUGAGCAGAGACAAAAAAAUAGCAACUAAAUAAGUUAAAAGGAAUUGAGUACCCUAUAAAAGUUUAUCAGGGAAAUAUUAUAAGGAAUGACUUUCGGAGUAAUGGGUAGUGAUCUUAAAUGUAUGGUCAAUGAAAAUCAGAAGUUGUAGAGAAGUGGAUAAAUUCACAGUACGUUUUAAAGUAGACCUAAUAAGACUUAAUGAAUUUGAUGUGGCAAGUGAGAAAAAUACAUCAAGGAUGAUGACUUUUAUAAUUUGACUUGAGUAUCUGGGAACAAACAAGUACAGUGCCAUAAUAAGGGCAGAAAAUUUUCCAUUCACCCAGCAACUUAUGAACUCAUUUGCUUAGUCUUUAUCGCCUCUUGCAUUAUAUAGUUUUCACUUUGCUGGAGUACUUGUAUAGAAGAUCACCAGUGAAGAAGCCAGAGAUGGCUUAUUAGGUUAUCCCAAUAAUACAUCUUAUUGUUAAUUAACUCUCAAGGGUUUUUUUUCACAAUUUUAGAAGUUUUAAGCAAAUGAAUUGGCUAUGUGACCCUACUAUAAGGUGUUUAAAACACCAACAGCUUAAACUUCUUAGAUCAAAGGACAUCCUCCAGGCCAAAAUAUUUCCACUGGAACGGUUUCUUUGCU